CGCGGGGUAGAGCAGAUGGUAGCUCGCCGGGCUCAUAACCCGGAGGUCGCGGGUUCGAGUCCCGCCCCCGCAACCA
Molecule: transfer RNA, 76 nt
Filed under: Candidatus Calescibacterium sp.
Lineage: Bacteria; Candidatus Calescibacteriota; Candidatus Calescibacteriales; Candidatus Calescibacteriaceae
Description: tRNA-Met
Rfam family: tRNA
About the family: Transfer RNA (tRNA) molecules are approximately 80 nucleotides in length.
Source: RNAcentral